Molecule: ribosomal RNA, 56 nt
Filed under: Bipolaris cynodontis
Lineage: Eukaryota; Fungi; Ascomycota; Dothideomycetes; Pleosporales; Pleosporaceae
Also listed under: 1 other name
Description: partial 28S ribosomal RNA
Source: RNAcentral
UUUUGACCUCGGAUCAGGUAGGGAUACCCGCUGAACUUAAGCAUAUCAAUAAGCGG